UACGGGGGGUGCAAGCGUUGUUCGGAAUUAUUGGGCGUAAAGAGCGUGUAGGCGGUUUGUUUAGUCUGAUGUGAAAGCCCUGGGCUCAACCCAGGAAGUGCAUUGGAAACUGGCAGACUUGAAUACGGGAGAGGGUAGUGGAAUUCCUAGUGUAGGAGUGAAAUCCGUAGAUAUUAGGAGGAACACCGGUGGCGAAGGCGGCUACCUGGACCGAUAUUGACGCUGAGGCGCGAAAGCGUGGGUAGCAAACAGG
This 253-nucleotide ribosomal RNA is filed under the name uncultured bacterium. Its description in RNAcentral is "partial 16S ribosomal RNA". It matches the Rfam family "Bacterial small subunit ribosomal RNA", at positions 524 to 776 of the family's 1533-position model. The record is from RNAcentral.